Molecule: long non-coding RNA, 1734 nt
Organism: Hippocampus comes (tiger tail seahorse)
Lineage: Eukaryota; Metazoa; Chordata; Actinopteri; Syngnathiformes; Syngnathidae
Exons: 2
Source: RefSeq, a predicted model, not a curated record
CCAAAGACAGGAGGGGAAAGAGAGAGAGGGGGAAGGAUAAUUAAUUACUUGUGUGAGCUAUUGCAUGAGAGAGACAAUAAACCUGCCUGGUCGCCAUGGAUAUGACAUAUUUGCUCUGAAAACAACACAAUAAUUAGCAAAGGAGGAAGAUCCGGCGAGAAUAUGAAAGACCUGGGUUUAAAGUGCCAAUCAUCUAUUCCUGUCCUCAUCCUUGAGAAUAGCAAUAACCACAGGCAAGAUGCCGGUUCGAGCAAAUAGUGACCCUUUUUACAAAACAGGCGUAUGAAAUUAAAUCGCACAUGGUGGUGUUUUGUAGCGAUCACUACUAAGCAAACAGGCAGGAGUUAUGUACGCUGUUUUUAAACAGAUUGUUUGUUCUUGAGGAGGUGGAAGUCAUUAAACCUGCCUGUCAGGCACUGGGAGCAGGAAUUUGCGCAAAAUCGUAUCAAGCAUUUCAAAUACAGCGUGUGCUGUGGUGCGUAAACAUUCAUGAAAAACACUCUGUUUCUCAGAAGUGUUUGCUCGUGAUCUAAUUGGCAAUAAAUGAUGCAACGAUCCCACUUAUGCACAAGUGAAUCAUUAAACGACAAAAAUUGUUUUCAUGAAGAAAAAAAAACAGAAUUACCACGUUUGUCAAGCUCUCGAUAUUAAAUGCACUUACGUGGGCUAAAGAAGUUCUUCUAUUUACAGUAAAUGCAACUGUAUGAGGGCUACUACUUGUUUAGGGUGAGUUUCACUCAGUUUUUAUAAAAAAAGGAUAAUAAUUAGAAAACAUAAAAAAAAGUCGCACCCAAAGUACAAAACAAGACAUCCAAUAUUCAUGCCCUUGUGUUAACUUGCAUUUCUAAAGCCCCUUUGAGUUGAAACUCACGUGGCAGAGAGCGAACAAAAACAAAUCAAGUUGCAAUAAGCGUCUUCGCUUGAGUGUGAGUCUUUUGACGCCGUUACAGCUUGGAAAGUUUUUCGUUUGGGAUGAAAGCGUGUAAGUUUGAGGUGGAAGAGUGUUGGGGUGAAAAGAAAAAAAAAAAGCAAGGCAAGACAGCAGCCUCCACACGCGGUUCCAGUCGCCGCCGCUGUCGCCAAGCCGCUGGAAGUCCCGCUGGCCGGCUAAGCGAGCGGCUUCCCUCGGUCAAGCGUCUGGAUGUGGUUGUCCCACACAGCCGCCCUCCCCACCCCUUCCCUCCUUUCCAAACUGUGCCCACUCGCGUGUCGCCUUCAGCGUGGACUUCCACUCAGAGGUGAAAACAUGCAGAGAGGAGUUGGAGGAAAAGCCAAACUCUUACCUGUGUGGACUUUGUCGUCCUGCUGCCACUUGAAACUACAAGAGACCCUCGAGCCUCGACGGUGUGGCUUGGAAAAAGUGGCCUGGACUCUCCCUGACUCGGACGACCGGGUUGGUUCUCAACUCUUGCCACGCUGGGGUCGACAUUUUCCAUUGUCGCUGAGCCGUGACCCACUUUUGCGCUGUCGAAGUAACGAAGAUGGAAACAAAAAAAUGUUGACAAAUGGCAUUUCGCGUCAUGUUUUCAAGCAUAACUGCUAAUGCUUAUAUUUUCCAAAGUGUAUGUCUGAGCACAUUAUGAUUAAGAAAAACUAAGAUGAGCAUGACAAUUGCAAAUGCAAAAAAUAUAUAUAGUGGCACUUUGGUUUCCUAUGGUUCAGUUUGUUCUGUCACUAAAUUCUAACUCAAUUUUCUCGCCAAGAGUAUCAAAUCAUUUUCCCCAAUUGAAUGAA